AACGCGAAGAACCUUACCAAAUCUUGACAUCUGACUGACCGGUCCUUAACCGGACCUUUCCUUCGGGACAGUCAAGACAGGUGGUGCAUGGUUGUCAUCAGCUCGUGUCGUGAGGUGUUGGGUUAAGUCCCGCAACGAGCGCAACCCCUAUUAUUAGUAGCCAGCGGUUCGGCCGGGCACUCUAAUGAGACUGCCGGGGAUAACCCGGAGGAAGGUGGGGAUGACGUCAAAUCAUCAUGCCCCUUACGAUUUGGGCUACACACGUGCUACAAUGGCGUAAACAAAGGGAAGCGACAGGGCGACCUAGAGCAAAUCCCAAAAACAACGUCUCAGUUCGGAUUGUAGUCUGCAACUCGACUACAUGAAGCUGGAAUCGCUAGUAAUCGUGAAUCAGAAUGUCACGGUGAAUACGUUCCCGGGUCUUGUACACACCGCCCGU
This 439-nucleotide ribosomal RNA is filed under the name uncultured bacterium. Its description in RNAcentral is "bacterial SSU rRNA". It matches the Rfam family "Bacterial small subunit ribosomal RNA", at positions 958 to 1397 of the family's 1533-position model. The record is from RNAcentral.